AACGAACGCUGGCGGCAGGCCUAACACAUGCAAGUCGAGCGGACCCUUCGGGGUUAGCGGCGGACGGGUGAGUAACGCGUGGGAAUAUGCCCUUCUCUACGGAAUAGUCCUGGGAAACUGGGGGUAAUACCGUAUACGCCCUUUGGGGGAAAGAUUUAUCGGGGAAGGAUUAGCCCGCGUUGGAUUAGGUAGUUGGUGGGGUAAUGGCCUACCAAGCCGACGAUCCAUAGCUGGUUUGAGAGGAUGAUCAGCCACACUGGGACUGAGACACGGCCCAGACUCCUACGAGAGGCAGCAGUGGGGAAUCUUAGACAAUGGGGGCAACCCUGAUCUAGCCAUGCCGCGUGAGUGAUGAAGGCCUUAGGGUUGUAAAGCUCUUUCAGCUGGGAAGAUAAUGACGGUACCAGCAGAAGAAGCCCCGGCUAACUCCGUG
This 433-nucleotide ribosomal RNA is filed under the name uncultured bacterium. RNAcentral describes it as "partial 16S ribosomal RNA". It matches the Rfam family "Bacterial small subunit ribosomal RNA", at positions 29 to 507 of the family's 1533-position model. The record is from RNAcentral.